RNAcentral lists this ribosomal RNA (253 nucleotides) under uncultured bacterium. Its description in RNAcentral is "partial 16S ribosomal RNA". It matches the Rfam family "Bacterial small subunit ribosomal RNA", at positions 524 to 776 of the family's 1533-position model. The record is from RNAcentral.
GACAGAGGUGCCGAGCGUUAGGCGGAAUCACUGGGCUUAAAGCGUGUGUAGGCGGACCGUUAAGUACCUUGUGAAAUCCCCCGGCUCAACCGGGGAAGGGGCGCCGAAACGACCCGUCUGGAGGGACGUAGGGGGACCUGGAACUUCCGGUGGAGCGGUGAAAUGCGUUGAGAUCGGAAGGAACGCCCGUGGCGAAAGCGAGGUCCUGGACGUCUACUGACGCUGAGACGCGAAAGCUAGGGUAGCGAACGGG